UUAAGAUUAGCCUGCGUCCGAUUAGCUAGUUGGUGGGGUAAGGGCCUACCAAGGCGACGAUCGGUAGCUGGUCUGAGAGGAUGGCCAGCCACACUGGAACUGAGACACGGUCCAGACUCCUACGGGAGGCAGCAGUGGGGAAUAUUGGACAAUGGGGGGAACCCUGAUCCAGCAAUGCCGCGUGUGUGAAGAAGGCCUGAGGGUUGUAAAGCACUUUCAGUGGGGAGGAGGGUUGAUAGGUUAAGAGCUGAUUAACUGGACGUUACCCACAGAAGAAGCACCGGCUAACUCCGUGCCAGCAGCCACGGUAAUACGGAGGGUGCAAGCGUUAAUCGGAAUUACUGGGCGUAAAGCGUGCGUAGGUGGUUGAUUAAGUUAUCUGUGAAAUCCCUGGGCUUAACCUGGGCAGGUCAGAUGAUACUGGUUGACUCGAGUAUGGGAGAGGGUAGUGGAAUUUCCGGUGUAGCGGUGAAAUGCGUAGAGAUCGGAAGGAACACCAGUGGCGAAGGCGGCUACCUGGCCUAAUACUGACACUGAGGCACGAAAGCGUGGGGAGC
Molecule: ribosomal RNA, 557 nt
Filed under: uncultured Legionella sp.
Lineage: Bacteria; Pseudomonadati; Pseudomonadota; Gammaproteobacteria; Legionellales; Legionellaceae
Description: bacterial SSU rRNA
Rfam family: Bacterial small subunit ribosomal RNA
Source: RNAcentral